AUGAAUUACGGGGGGACUCCUACGGGAGGCAGCAGCAGGGAAUCUUCGGCAAUGGGGGCAACCCUGACCGAGCAACGCCGCGUGAGUGAAGAAGGUUUUCGGAUCGUAAAGCUCUGUUGUAAGAGAAGAACGUGUGUGAGAGUGGAAAGUUCACACAGUGACGGUAACUUACCAGAAAGGGACGGCUAACUACGUGCCAGCAGCCGCGGUAAAAU
This 215-nucleotide ribosomal RNA is filed under the name uncultured bacterium. RNAcentral describes it as "partial 16S ribosomal RNA". It matches the Rfam family "Bacterial small subunit ribosomal RNA", at positions 319 to 526 of the family's 1533-position model. The record is from RNAcentral.